GUGCUCGCUUCGGCAGCGCAUAUAUUAAAAUUGGAAUGAUACAGAGAAGAUUAGCAUGGCUCCUUGCGCAGAAAGUUAAGAACAUUCCGCUUUCAAAUUCCCU
Molecule: small nuclear RNA, 103 nt
Organism: Lacerta agilis (Sand lizard)
Lineage: Eukaryota; Metazoa; Chordata; Lepidosauria; Squamata; Lacertidae
Source: RefSeq, a predicted model, not a curated record